RNAcentral lists this ribosomal RNA (732 nucleotides) under Klebsiella planticola. RNAcentral describes it as "Raoultella planticola partial 16S rRNA". Lineage: Bacteria; Pseudomonadati; Pseudomonadota; Gammaproteobacteria; Enterobacterales; Enterobacteriaceae. The record is from RNAcentral.
CCUGAGCGUCAGUCUUUGUCCAGGGGGCCGCCUUCGCCACCGGUAUUCCUCCAGAUCUCUACGCAUUUCACCGCUACACCUGGAAUUCUACCCCCCUCUACAAGACUCAAGCUUGCCAGUUUCAAAUGCAGUUCCCAGGUUGAGCCCGGGGAUUUCACAUCUGACUUAACAAACCGCCUGCGUGCGCUUUACGCCCAGUAAUUCCGAUUAACGCUUGCACCCUCCGUAUUACCGCGGCUGCUGGCACGGAGUUAGCCGGUGCUUCUUCUGCGAGUAACGUCAAUCGCUAAGGUUAUUAACCUUAACGCCUUCCUCCUCGCUGAAAGUACUUUACAACCCGAAGGCCUUCUUCAUACACGCGGCAUGGCUGCAUCAGGCUUGCGCCCAUUGUGCAAUAUUCCCCACUGCUGCCUCCCGUAGGAGUCUGGACCGUGUCUCAGUUCCAGUGUGGCUGGUCAUCCUCUCAGACCAGCUAGGGAUCGUCGCCUAGGUGAGCCAUUACCCCACCUACUAGCUAAUCCCAUCUGGGCACAUCUGAUGGCAUGAGGCCCGAAGGUCCCCCACUUUGGUCUUGCGACGUUAUGCGGUAUUAGCUACCGUUUCCAGUAGUUAUCCCCCUCCAUCAGGCAGUUUCCCAGACAUUACUCACCCGUCCGCCGCUCGUCACCCGAGAGCAAGCUCUCUGUGCUACCGCUCGACUUGCAUGUGUUAGGCCUGCCGCCAGCGUUCAAU